UACAGAGGAGCCAAGCGUUGUCCGGAUUGACUGGGCGUAAAGCGCACGCAGGCGGCACCGCGCGUGGGGUGUGAAAUCUGGCCGCUUAACGGCCAGGCGCCAUCCCAUACGGCGGAGCUGGAGUGAUGCAGAGGUCGGUGGAAUUGCCGGUGUAGUGGUGAAAUGCUUAGAUAUCGUCAAGAACACCUAUAGCGAAGGCAGCUUACUAGGCUGUAACUGACGCUGAGGCACGAAAGUGUGGGGAUCAAACAGG
RNAcentral lists this ribosomal RNA (253 nucleotides) under uncultured bacterium. RNAcentral describes it as "partial 16S ribosomal RNA". It matches the Rfam family "Bacterial small subunit ribosomal RNA", at positions 524 to 776 of the family's 1533-position model. The record is from RNAcentral.